Molecule: unclassified non-coding RNA, 300 nt
Filed under: Endogonomycetes sp.
Lineage: Eukaryota; Fungi; Mucoromycota; Endogonomycetes
Description: partial contains small subunit ribosomal RNA and internal transcribed spacer 1
Rfam family: Eukaryotic small subunit ribosomal RNA (bases 1-46)
Source: RNAcentral
AAGUCGUAACAAGGUUUCCGUAGGUGAACCUGCGGAAGGAUCAUUAACAAUUGUCCAUUUUCCUUUGCAUAUGGAUGGUUCAAAUCCAUAUCCACCUUCGUGUGCACAUCAUUGACAUGUUUGCUUUGGCAGUUUGCUGGGGGAGAAUCCUUUACCGUUUUUUCUCUGUGGAGGGAAAGAAGAGACAAGAAAAACUCUCUGCCUUUCCUUCCGGCGCUGCCAGAGUUUUUUUCUUUCAUCUUGACAAACUUUUCUUGCUUUUUCUCGAAGCAAGCCUGAAAACAUCAAAUUUUUGGAAGA